This is a long non-coding RNA of Pseudophryne corroboree (corroboree frog), 1285 nucleotides long. RefSeq lists it as uncharacterized. The transcript has 3 exons. The record is from RefSeq and is a predicted model, not a curated record. Lineage: Eukaryota; Metazoa; Chordata; Amphibia; Anura; Myobatrachidae.
CGAGUUACUGCUGAGUAGCCCAGAAAUCCUGAGUUCUUGCUGUUUUUUGCUAUCUUACACAGCAAAUGAGAGCCUGAUGCAGCUGCUUUCACUGUGCUACCUGGCACACUCUUAUGCCAAGAGGAGAAGGGAGCAAUUUCUGGCGGAGAUGCCUGAUACUCAAUGCUGGUAUUUGCACAGGAGGAUAGCCCUGGUUUUGGGCAGCAUUACGUCCAUACUAAGAUUUACCAGCACAACAAAUCGAUCGUUGUGGACCAGAGACCGCAGGAAUGGACAAGCUUUCUGGGCAACCGUGCAAGCUUAUCAGCCAAAGCAGUGGAUGGCAUACUUUCGGAUGUCAUGUGCUACAUUUAACUACCUGCUUGAACUUCUCACCCCCGCACUCACUAGGGGAAACUCCUACUACCAAAAGACCAUCGAGCUCCUGCUUGUUUGGCGUAGGCAUGGUCGACGGUGUGUGUGCUAGUGCGGGAAGUGACCGAGGCAUUGCUGGAAACCGUUUACCACCGCUUCAUCUCCUUACUACAAGGUGACUGGCUGGAUGACACCAUAAAAGAUUUCCUAUGUGUAUGUAUGUGGAUAUCCCCAAUGCAGUAGAGCCAUAGAUGGACCCACAUACCCAUUAUUGCCCCCAGAGACAACCCAGCAGAUUACCACAAAAGAAAAGGCUGGCACUCCAUCAUCCUGCAGGCUGUAGUGGACCAUAAGUUUUGUUUCACAGAUGACUUUAUCGGCUGGCCGGGUCGUGCUCACGACUCCUGGGUAUUUGCCAACUCAGACUUGUUCCAGAUUGCGGAGGAGAAGCAACAUGACUGGUUGUUACCAAGAGAGAAAUCGACAUUUGUUGCUGGGGUGGAGAUCCCGGUACACCUUAUUGGAGAUGCGGUGUACCCUUUGAGGUGAUGGCUCAUCAAGGGCUUCACACAACAUCUUCCACUCUCUCUGGACAAAGUUCAGUUCACCCACAAUCUCAGCUCGGCCAGGAUGGUGGUGGAAAACGCCUUUGGUAGACUGAAGGGCGUUGACAGUAGCUACUAAAGUGUAAUGAUGUUGCAGAGCAGAAAGAAGCCCCUUGUGGGCUCGCUGCGCUCUCCAUGCAGCAGGCUUGGUUGCUCGCUGCGCUCACCACAGGUUCUAUUCCCAUCCUACCAAUAGUGGGAAUAGUCCCUAUUGAUCAGCAUGCCAUCCGUCAGGUUAUUCACCCUUUGGGAUCCUUGGGUCGGUAUAGCGAUCUCCCAACCUCCGGUCACCUAACCGCAUCCCGUUAGUACAGGAUACAUAUGAA